This 57-nucleotide transfer RNA is filed under the name Camelus bactrianus (Bactrian camel). It matches the Rfam family "tRNA", at positions 8 to 63 of the family's 71-position model. From Rfam's summary of the family: Transfer RNA (tRNA) molecules are approximately 80 nucleotides in length. Their secondary structure includes four short double-helical elements and three loops (D, anti-codon, and T loops). RNAcentral also lists the same sequence under 3 other names. Lineage: Eukaryota; Metazoa; Chordata; Mammalia; Artiodactyla; Camelidae. The record is from Rfam by way of RNAcentral.
UAACUCAGUGGUAGAGUAUGUGCUUAGCAUGCACAAGGUCCUGAGUUCAAUCCCCAG